RNAcentral lists this long non-coding RNA (381 nucleotides) under Equus caballus (horse). RNAcentral's name for it is "lncRNA (ENSECAG00000037959.2)". Lineage: Eukaryota; Metazoa; Chordata; Mammalia; Perissodactyla; Equidae. The record is from RNAcentral.
CAGGACAGUAUUUGGCUUUGGAGAAGAUGAAAGAGAUCCUGAAGGUGCAGGGCCAUGGAGGGCUUCUAAGAUACCAUCUCAAUGUUGUUAUUUCUUAACCUUGAUGGUGUUUGUGCAGGUAUUCUUAUCAUGGUAAAGCAUUCAGUUCUUUAUUUUAUGCACUUCCACAAAUAUAUGCUAUAUUUCAAGUUUGAAAACAGAAAGGUUCAACGCCCCUUCUGGAAAGAUCUAACUGGACAAGACCAAGUCCCACGUUUAUACACUAGUGGCCAAAAUGAGGGGCAUGAAAAAUUUCAGAAGCCAUUGAAUGGGAGUUGACAAUUCUGUAACGUGUAAAGAUUAUGAAGCUUGGAUUCAAAGAGUACCUUGGCAGAGGCAGAC